Molecule: long non-coding RNA, 554 nt
Organism: Panthera uncia (snow leopard)
Lineage: Eukaryota; Metazoa; Chordata; Mammalia; Carnivora; Felidae
Exons: 3
Source: RefSeq, a predicted model, not a curated record
CCCUGCAAGAACUAAUUUACCCCCUUGAGGGAACACUGCCCCACUGAGAAUUUACGCCACAGCGGAAGUCGUAGAUGCUCCACCCGGAAGUCGUAGAUGCUCCACCCAGAACUCCGUCAAUGGUGGUGAACCUCUCCACCCAGCCGCUUUGGGCGUUGCCCUAGGAGAACUCUCCAGAGGAUUGCCCUAGACCCAGUGGAGGUUUUAUCCGUCUCAAAAUCCCAUCAAAUCCUCCCCACCUAAAAAAGCUGUACCUACUUACAGUGAGGUUCCAUUUGUCUGUGGGGAAAGGUGAGCCUAGGGUCCUCCUACAUCACCAAAUGCAAUGAGAAUUCCAAGAAGCUCCAUCCUAAAGGAAGAGUCCAAGCUAGAAGGCAAGGGCACUAUAGUUGGCUGUUUUUCACAAAAUGUGGCUUCGUGUUUCUUGAUGGCUCCUGUGACAAGUUGACUGUCCAGAGAAAUUUGGAUUUCACAUAUGUAGUUCCAGUGACUGCAUUCAUCCAGGUUAGACCAUAUGUCUUGGCUUCAUGUUCAGAAAACAUGGACUUUAUACU